UACAGAGAUUGCAAGCGUUAUUCGGAUUCACUGGGCGUAAAGGGUGCGCAGGCGGCCAAGUGUGUGAGGCGUGAAAGCCCGGGGCUUAACCCCGGAAUUGCACCUCAAACUACAUGGCUAGAGCAUUGGAGAGGGUAGCAGAAUUCAUGGUGUAGCAGUGAAAUGCGUAGAUAUCAUGAGGAAUACCAGAGGCGAAGGCGGCUACCUGGACAAUUGCUGACGCUCAGGCACGAAAGCGUGGGGAGCAAAAGGG
This 253-nucleotide ribosomal RNA is filed under the name uncultured bacterium. RNAcentral's name for it is "partial 16S ribosomal RNA". It matches the Rfam family "Bacterial small subunit ribosomal RNA", at positions 524 to 776 of the family's 1533-position model. The record is from RNAcentral.